Molecule: ribosomal RNA, 497 nt
Filed under: uncultured bacterium
Lineage: Bacteria
Description: partial 16S ribosomal RNA
Rfam family: Bacterial small subunit ribosomal RNA
Source: RNAcentral
GAUGAACGCUGGCGGCGUGCCUAACACAUGCAAGUCGAGCGGACGGAGGAGGCUCUCGCCUCUCUGAUGUGAGCGGCGGACGGGUGAUGAAUAGGAGGCUAACCGACAGAUAGGACUGGCAUAACUUAAGGAAAGCGUAUCUAACAUACGAUAAGAGUGUGAACGGCAUGGUUCAUAAGAGAAAGAGGGUUUUGCUGACACUAAUAGAUGGAACCACGUUGCAUUAGCUAGUUGGUACGGUAACGGCUUACCAAGGCUACGAUGCAUAGCUGAUCUGAGAGGGUGAUCAGCCACACUGGAACUGAGACACGGUCCAGACUCCUACGGGAGGCAGCAGUAGGGAAUCUUCCACAAUGGGCGAAAGCCUGACGGAGCAAUGCCGCGUGUGUGAUGAAGGUCUUCGGAUCGUAAAGCUCUGUUAUUAGGGAAGAAGAGAUGUGUAAGUAACUGUGCAUGUCUUGACGGUACCUAAAGAGAAAGCCCCGGCUAACUACGUG